Molecule: ribosomal RNA, 202 nt
Filed under: Methylobacterium organophilum
Lineage: Bacteria; Pseudomonadati; Pseudomonadota; Alphaproteobacteria; Hyphomicrobiales; Methylobacteriaceae
Source: RNAcentral
GGCUGCCACCACAUGCUUGCCGAACGAAACACUCGACGUCGCAGCACCCUGCGCCGCCAAGUCCCAAAAAAAUUGCGUUGCGCCGGUCUGGUGGCCUGAGCGGCGUGCCCAGAACCCGAUCCCAUCUCGAACUCGGCCGUUAAACACGCCAGCGCCCAUGGUACUGUGUCUCAAGACACGGGAGAGUCGGUCGCCGCCAGAC